RNAcentral lists this ribosomal RNA (505 nucleotides) under uncultured bacterium. RNAcentral's name for it is "partial 16S ribosomal RNA". It matches the Rfam family "Bacterial small subunit ribosomal RNA", at positions 28 to 507 of the family's 1533-position model. The record is from RNAcentral.
GACGAACGCUGGCGGCGUGCCUAAUACAUGCAAGUAGAACGCACAGUUUAUACUUUAGCUUGCUUCACCAUAGACUGUGAGUUGCGAACGGUUGAGUAAUGCGUAGGUAACCUGCCUGGUAUCGGGGGAUAACUAUUGGUAACGCUAGCUAAUACCGCAUGAUAUUGAUUAUUCUUUGAUAAUUAAUUUAAAGGUUCAAUUUCACCCCUACUAGCUGGUUCUGCGUUUUAUUAGCUACUAGGUGAGGUAACGGCUCAUCUACGCGGAGGUACAUAACCGACCUGGGAAGGAGAUCGGCCAAAAUGGGACUGAGAAAAGGGCCAGACUCCUACGGGAAGGAGCAGUAGGGAAACAUCGGCAAUGGACGAAAGUCUGACCGAGCAACGCCGCGUGAGUGAAGAAGGUUUUCGGAUCGGAAAGCUCUGUUGUAAGAGAAGAACGGGUAGGAGGGUGGAAAGUUCACGCUGUGACGGUAUCAUACCAGAAAGGGACGGCUAACUACGUG